This 72-nucleotide transfer RNA is filed under the name Lottia digitalis (California fingered limpet). Its description in RNAcentral is "tRNA-Pro". The record is from RNAcentral. Lineage: Eukaryota; Metazoa; Mollusca; Gastropoda; Lottiidae.
CAGAAGGUAAUUUAAUUACAAAAAUGCCGGUUUUGGGAACCGAUAAUCGAGGGGCAGGACCUUGUCUUCUGA